AGUGAACGCUGGCGGUAGGCCUAACACAUGCAAGUCGAACGGCAGCACAGUAAGAGCUUGCUCUUACGGGUGGCGAGUGGCGGACGGGUGAGGAAUACAUCGGAAUCUACUUUUUCGUGGGGGAUAACGUAGGGAAACUUACGCUAAUACCGCAUACGACCUACGGGUGAAAGCAGGGGAUCUUCGGACCUUGCGCGAUUGAAUGAGCCGAUGUCGGAUUAGCUAGUUGGCGGGGUAAAGGCCCACCAAGGCGACGAUCCGUAGCUGGUCUGAGAGGAUGAUCAGCCACACUGGAACUGAGACACGGUCCAGACUCCUACGGGAGGCAGCAGUGGGGAAUAUUGGACAAUGGGCGCAAGCCUGAUCCAGCCAUGCCGCGUGUGUGAAGAAGGCCUUCGGGUUGUAAAGCCCUUUUGUUGGGAAAGAAAAGCUGCACUUUAAUACCGCGCGGUUCUGACGGUACCCGAAGAAUAAGCACCGGCUAACUACGUG
RNAcentral lists this ribosomal RNA (492 nucleotides) under uncultured bacterium. RNAcentral describes it as "partial 16S ribosomal RNA". It matches the Rfam family "Bacterial small subunit ribosomal RNA", at positions 29 to 507 of the family's 1533-position model. The record is from RNAcentral.